RNAcentral lists this ribosomal RNA (634 nucleotides) under uncultured Bacteroidales bacterium. Its description in RNAcentral is "bacterial SSU rRNA". It matches the Rfam family "Bacterial small subunit ribosomal RNA", at positions 44 to 667 of the family's 1533-position model. Lineage: Bacteria; Pseudomonadati; Bacteroidota; Bacteroidia; Bacteroidales. The record is from RNAcentral.
AGGCUUAACACAUGCAAGUCGAGGGGCAGCAUGGUCUUAGCUUGCUAAGGCCGAUGGCGACCGGCGCACGGGUGAGUAACACGUAUCCAACCUGCCGUCUACUCUUGGACAGCCUUCUGAAAGGAAGAUUAAUACAAGAUGGCAUCAUGAGUCCGCAUGUUCACAUGAUUAAAGGUAUUCCGGUAGACGAUGGGGAUGCGUUCCAUUAGAUAGUAGGCGGGGUAACGGCCCACCUAGUCUUCGAUGGAUAGGGGUUCUGAGAGGAAGGUCCCCCACAUUGGAACUGAGACACGGUCCAAACUCCUACGGGAGGCAGCAGUGAGGAAUAUUGGUCAAUGGGCGAGAGCCUGAACCAGCCAAGUAGCGUGAAGGAUGACUGCCCUAUGGGUUGUAAACUUCUUUUAUAAAGGAAUAAAGUCGGGUAUGGAUACCCGUUUGCAUGUACUUUAUGAAUAAGGAUCGGCUAACUCCGUGCCAGCAGCCGCGGUAAUACGGAGGAUCCGAGCGUUAUCCGGAUUUAUUGGGUUUAAAGGGAGCGUAGAUGGAUGUUUAAGUCAGUUGUGAAAGUUUGCGGCUCAACCGUAAAAUUGCAGUUGAUACUGGAUAUCUUGAGUGCAGUUGAGGCAGGCGGAAU